Schistosoma curassoni is the source of this 45-nucleotide non-coding RNA. The record is from Rfam. Lineage: Eukaryota; Metazoa; Platyhelminthes; Trematoda; Strigeidida; Schistosomatidae.
AUCUAGCUGACGAGUCCAAAAUAGGACGAAACGUGCGUCCUGGAU